UACGUAGGGGGCUAGCGUUAUCCGGAAUUACUGGGCGUAAAGGGUGCGUAGGUGGUUUCUUAAGUCAGAGGUGAAAGGCUACGGCUCAACCGUAGUAAGCCUUUGAAACUGGGAAACUUGAGUGCAGGAGAGGAGAGUGGAAUUCCUAGUGUAGCGGUGAAAUGCGUAGAUAUUAGGAGGAACACCAGUUGCGAAGGCGGCUCUCUGGACUGUAACUGACACUGAGGCACGAAAGCGUGGGGGGCAAACAGG
This 252-nucleotide ribosomal RNA is filed under the name uncultured bacterium. Its description in RNAcentral is "partial 16S ribosomal RNA". It matches the Rfam family "Bacterial small subunit ribosomal RNA", at positions 524 to 776 of the family's 1533-position model. The record is from RNAcentral.